This 501-nucleotide ribosomal RNA is filed under the name uncultured bacterium. RNAcentral's name for it is "partial 16S ribosomal RNA". It matches the Rfam family "Bacterial small subunit ribosomal RNA", at positions 30 to 523 of the family's 1533-position model. The record is from RNAcentral.
AUUGAACGCUGGCGGCAGGCUUAACACAUGCGGGUCGAGCGGGGGAAGGUAGCUUGCUACCGGACCUAGCGGCGGACGGGUGAGUAAUGCUUAGGAAUCUGCCUAUUAGUGGGGGACAACAUCUCGAAAGGGAUGCUAAUACCGCAUACGUCCUACGGGAGAAAGCAGGGGAUCUUCGGACCUUGCGCUAAUAGAUGAGCCUAAGUCGGAUUAGCUAGUUGGUGGGGUAAAGGCCUACCAAGGCGACGAUCUGUAGCGGGUCUGAGAGGAUGAUCCGCCACACUGGGACUGAGACACGGCCCAGACUCCUACGGGAGGCAGCAGUGGGGAAUAUUGGACAAUGGGGGGAACCCUGAUCCAGCCAUGCCGCGUGUGUGAAGAAGGCCCUAUGGUUGUAAAGCACUUUAAGCGAGGAGGAGGCUACUUUAGUUAAUACCUAGAGAUAGUGGACGUUACUCGCAGAAUAAGCACCGGCUAACUCUGUGCCAGCAGCCGCCGUAA